Non-coding RNA from Pelobates cultripes (western spadefoot toad), 212 nucleotides. The record is from the annotation of a GenBank genome assembly. Lineage: Eukaryota; Metazoa; Chordata; Amphibia; Anura; Pelobatidae.
CUGCAGGGUUCAGUAUUCAGUCUAUGGAGAGCUGCAGGGUUCAGUAUUCAGUCUAUGGAGAGCUGCAGGGCUCAGUAUUCAGUCUAUGGAGAGCUGCAGGGCUCAGUAUUCAGUCUAUGGAGAGCUGCAGGGUUCAGUAUUCAGUCUAUGGAGAGCUGCAGGGUUCAGUAUUCAGUCUAUGGAGAGCUGCAGGGUUCAGUGCUCAGUCUAUG